GUGGAUAACUGGAGGGUUCCGGGGCUGGGGUCAGUUGUUGCUGAGGCUACCUGGCCUGGAGGGUCAGAACUUAGGGUGAAGGGUCAGGUAGGGGUCAUGGUGCCGUGUCUACCUGGCCCGGAGAGUCAGGACAGGGCUCAGGGUCAGGUAGGGGUCAUGGUGCCGUGUCUACCUGGCCCGGAGGGUCAGGACAGGGCUCAGGGUCAGGUAGGGGUCAUGGUGCCGUGUCUACCUGGCCUGGAGGGUCAGGACAGGGCUCAGGGUCAGGUAGGGGUCAUGGUGCCGUGUCUACCUGGCCUGGAGGGUCAGGACAGGGCUCAGGGUCAGGUAGGGGUCAUGAUGCCGUGUCUACCUGGCCUGGAGGGUCAGGACAGGGCUCGCGGUCAGGUAGGGGUCAUGGUGCCGUGUCUACCUGGCCUGGAGGGUCAGGACAGGGCUCGGGGUCAGGUAGGGGUCAUGGUGCCGUGUCUA
Long non-coding RNA from Oncorhynchus keta (chum salmon), 471 nucleotides. RefSeq lists it as uncharacterized. The record is from RefSeq and is a predicted model, not a curated record. Lineage: Eukaryota; Metazoa; Chordata; Actinopteri; Salmoniformes; Salmonidae. The transcript is spliced from 3 exons.